Molecule: ribosomal RNA, 913 nt
Filed under: uncultured bacterium
Lineage: Bacteria
Description: bacterial SSU rRNA
Rfam family: Bacterial small subunit ribosomal RNA
Source: RNAcentral
ACACAUGCAGUCGAGCGGUAACAGAUCCAGCUUGCUGGAUGCUGACGAGCGGCGGACGGGUGAGUAAUGCAUAGGAAUCUGCCCGAUAGUGGGGGAUAACCUGGGGAAACCCAGGCUAAUACCGCAUACGUCCUACGGGAGAAAGGGGGCUCCGGCUCCCGCUAUGGGAUGAGCCUAUGUCGGAUUAGCUAGUUGGUGAGGUAACGGCUCACCAAGGCCACGAUCCGUAGCUGGUCUGAGAGGAUGAUCAGCCACAUCGGGACUGAGACACGGCCCGAACUCCUACGGGAGGCAGCAGUGGGGAAUAUUGGACAAUGGGGGAAACCCUGAUCCAGCCAUGCCGCGUGUGUGAAGAAGGCCCUCGGGUUGUAAAGCACUUUCAGCGAGGAAGAACGCCUAGCGGUUAAUACCCGCUAGGAAAGACAUCACUCGCAGAAGAAGCACCGGCUAACUCCGUGCCAGCAGCCGCGGUAAUACGGAGGGUGCAAGCGUUAAUCGGAAUUACUGGGCGUAAAGCGCGCGUAGGUGGCUUGAUAAGCCGGUUGUGAAAGCCCCGGGCUCAACCUGGGAACGGCAUCCGGAACUGUCAAGCUAGAGUGCAGGAGAGGAAGGUAGAAUUCCCGGUGUAGCGGUGAAAUGCGUAGAGAUCGGGAGGAAUACCAGUGGCGAAGGCGGCCUUCUGGACUGACACUGACACUGAGGUGCGAAAGCGUGGGUAGCAAACAGGAUUAGAUACCCUGGUAGUCCACGCCGUAAACGAUGUCGACCAGCCGUUGGGUGCCUAGCGCACUUUGUGGCGAAGUUAACGCGAUAAGUCGACCGCCUGGGGAGUACGGCCGCAAGGUUAAAACUCAAAUGAAUUGACGGGGGCCCGCACAAGCGGUGGAGCAUGUGGUUUAAUUCGAUGCAACGC